RNAcentral lists this unclassified non-coding RNA (284 nucleotides) under soil metagenome. RNAcentral's name for it is "partial contains small subunit ribosomal RNA and internal transcribed spacer 1". The record is from RNAcentral.
UUUCCGUAGGUGAACCUGCGGAAGGAUCAUUACCACUUUUUGGGAGCGUUAUUAAAAAUGCGUUCUCAUUUCCAACCCCACACACUUGUGUGAACCAUGAUGUUGAUGUCGCGGAGAUGAUGCUCGGGUCGUUGCAGAUGCUCAUUCGGUUGAGCGGAGACGACGCGGUGAAGCGCGCAUCGAGGCGACAUUACACACUCAACAACAACCCAUUGAAAAAGAGAUUUUAUUACACAUACAUACCAAAACCAACAUCACUUCAAACAACGGAUGUCUAGGUUCUC